RNAcentral lists this transfer RNA (98 nucleotides) under Cyanobium sp. RNAcentral's name for it is "tRNA-Pro". Lineage: Bacteria; Bacillati; Cyanobacteriota; Cyanophyceae; Synechococcales; Prochlorococcaceae. The record is from RNAcentral.
GGUGGUGCUGGCGGGGCUGGGGGUGUUGCUUGGCGGCGGAGCCCAACGGCCCUGACAUCUCAAAGGGCCCAGCAGCGUUCGAGACGCUGGCGCAGCUG